This 831-nucleotide long non-coding RNA is filed under the name Lynx pardinus (Iberian lynx). Lineage: Eukaryota; Metazoa; Chordata; Mammalia; Carnivora; Felidae. The record is from RNAcentral.
GCGGGAGCCCGGAGCACCUUGACGAGUGAAGGUCGGAUCGAAGUUUCUGUCUGUGGCGCCGGCCUGGGGCCUCGUCUGGGCUGAGCAGGAUUCUCCCAGGCGUGCCCACACAAUGCGGAAGGAGUGUUCAAAGGACCUGAAUAAACAGGCGGUACAUUUCGGGGACAAUGGGCAGCCGCGUCUCCAGGCGGGGAGGGACCUCUGGAAUCCGCGGUCCCGUGCUCCGGGCCCGGGGACUGCGGCGCUUUGUGCGCCGGGUUAAUGAGCUGGAAAAUACAAUUGGGCUUCCCUGGCUGUGAAAAUCGCUUUGGGGGCAACCGAGUCACUUAGCUGCCGGGGGAACCGGGAAUUGAUUUCCUUUGUCCCGAGGACCCAGCGCGUCCUUGCGGAGGCCACGGACUGGGGGCUGGGCCUCCUCCCACGAAGACCCCAAGCAGGACAGGCUUCAGAGAGACUGAACAGGGCCAGGAAUCCCCAGGGAAGGACGAGGUUUUAAAAACAAACAAAACAGCAGACACCCAUUCUCCUACCUCUCUCAUCUUCCAGAGCCUCACCUCUUUUGGACCAGAGGAACGUCCCCUUCCCCUUGUUGAGCCGGCUAUGGAGAGGCCACUGUCCCUGGAGGAUGGCACUGGAGCCCUGGACCAGGCUCCUGUGUAUGGACACUGGGAAGCUGGGCAGGCAGCCCCUGCCCAGGGAAGUCUGCUGGGCCAGCGCUACCCAGGAGGCCCCAGGACUCUGAUGGUCACUUGAGACCUUGCUCCUUGCUUGGCCAAACACCAUAUUCACUGCGUAAUAAAUGGCCCAGGCCCACAGGGCAUGUUGUUUUGG